CCUACGGGAGGCAGCAGUGAGGAAUCUUGGUCAAUGGGCGGGAGCCUGAACCAGCCAAGUCGCGUGAAGGAAGAAGGUACUUAGUAUUGUAAACUUCUUUUGUCGGGGAACAAAGGCGGAGACGCGUCUCCGGAUGAGUGUACCCGACGAAAACGCAUCGGCUAACUCCGUGCCAGCAGCCGCGGUAAUACGGAGGAUGCGCGCGUUGUCCGGAUUUAUUGGGUUUAACGGGUGCGCAGUCGGGAGAUCAAGUCAGCGGUAAAAUGUCGGGGCUCAACCCCGGCCGGCCGUUGAAAAUGGUUGUCGAGAGUUGGAGAGAAGUAGGCGGAAUUCGUGGUGUAGCGGUGAAAUGCAUAGAUAUCACGAAGAACUCCGAUUGCGAAGGCAGCAUACCGGCUCCAUACUGACGCUGAGGAACGAAAGCGUGGGGAUCGAACAGGAUUAGAUACCCUUGUAGUC
RNAcentral lists this ribosomal RNA (459 nucleotides) under uncultured bacterium. RNAcentral's name for it is "partial 16S ribosomal RNA". It matches the Rfam family "Bacterial small subunit ribosomal RNA", at positions 338 to 795 of the family's 1533-position model. The record is from RNAcentral.